AGACGCUGGCGGCGUGCCUAAUACAUGCAAGUCGAACGCUUCCUAUCGGUGCUUGCACCGAGAAAGAAGAGUGGCGGACGGGUGAGUAACAACGUGGGUAACCUACCUAUAAGCGGGGGAUAACAUUCGGAAACGGAUGCUAAUACCGCAUAGAUCUUAAUGCCUCCUGGCAUUGGGAAGAAAGACGGCUUCGGCUGUCACUUGUAGAUGGACCCGCGGCGCAUUAGUUAGUUGGUGAGGUAAUGGCUCACCAAGACGAUGAUGCGUAGCCGACCUGAGAGGGUGAUCGGCCACACUGGGACUGAGACACGGCCCAGACUCCUACGGGAGGCAGCAGUAGGGAAUCUUCCGCAAUGGACGAAAGUCUGACGGAGCAACGCCGCGUGAGUGAAGAAGGUUUUCGGAUCGUAAAACUCUGUUGUUAGAGAAGAACAAGGAUGAGAGUAACUGUUCAUCCCUUGACGGUAUCUAACCAGAAAGCCAUGGCUAACUACGUG
This 497-nucleotide ribosomal RNA is filed under the name uncultured Desemzia sp. RNAcentral describes it as "bacterial SSU rRNA". It matches the Rfam family "Bacterial small subunit ribosomal RNA", at positions 32 to 507 of the family's 1533-position model. The record is from RNAcentral. Lineage: Bacteria; Bacillati; Bacillota; Bacilli; Lactobacillales; Carnobacteriaceae.